AUUGAACGCUGGCGGCAGGCCUAACACAUGCAAGUCGAGCGGUGGAGAGAAGCUUGCUUCUCUUGAGAGCGGCGGACGGGUGAGUAAUGCCUAGGAAUCUGCCUGGUAGUGGGGGAUAACGUUCGGAAACGGACGCUAAUACCGCAUACGUCCUACGGGAGAAGGCAGGGGCCCUUCGGGCCUUGCGCUAUCAGAUGAGCCUAGGUCGGAUUAGCUAGUUGGUGGGGUAAUGGCUCACCAAGGCGACGAUCCGUAACUGGUCUGUGAGGAUGAUCAGUCACACUGGAACUGAGACACGGUCCAGACUCCUACGGGAGGCAGCAGUGGGGAAUAUUGGACAAUGGGCGGAAGCCUGAUCCAGCCAUGCCGCGUGUGUGAAGAAGGUCUUCGGAUUGUAAAGCACUUUAAGUUGGGAGGAAGGGCAGUAAAUUAAUACUUUGCUGUUUUGACGUUACCGACAGAAUAAGCACCGGCUAACUCUGUGCCAGCCGCCGCCGUAA
This 500-nucleotide ribosomal RNA is filed under the name uncultured bacterium. RNAcentral's name for it is "partial 16S ribosomal RNA". It matches the Rfam family "Bacterial small subunit ribosomal RNA", at positions 30 to 523 of the family's 1533-position model. The record is from RNAcentral.